GCCAUGCUUUUACCACAGUAACUUUAGAUCUACUGUGUUAUUUGUAGUUAAAACAAUACGCAUUGAAUUUACCAUGCUUUUUAAGAUAAAGCAUGUAUGUUGCAUUGUUGCUUUGUUUUAAAGGCGGAGUCCAUGAUGUUUGAAAGCCAAUGUUGAUAUUUGAAAUCACCUAAACAAACACGCCCCUACCCCAAUAGAAUCUGGACCUUCUGUUGAUGGACCCGCCCCACACAUACGCAAACCGGCAUUUGAUUUGAUUUGAUUGGCUAUAAGUGUGUUUUGGUAGUCGGCCCGUCUCCUUUUCCAACGCGUUUUUCAAACAUCGUGGACUCCUCCUUUAAUGCCAUCAAAAAUUGAAUUUCUUGCACUCUGCGGCUCCAGAGUGCGAGUGAAAUGAUUAUAUUAGCAUCAGGCAGAGGAAGCAACCGACAAACAGGUUAACCUCAAAAUCAUCAUUAAAUCAUUUUCCGACUUCUAACAAAUUUCAACCCUGGAUAGCAUUAAUCUCAAAAGUUCAUACAUUUGUGCAAAAUAUACUUUGAUCAUUCACUUGUAUGUAUCAUACAUAAAUGCAUUUAUAUAACAUUUUAAGAUAAAGUCUUAAACUGUACAGAUUAUGACAAAUAACAUUUGUUUUUUAAGAUGGAAAAGAGAGAAGACAAACUUCACCGAAAGAUUUUGGAGGAAAAGGCCAAAUUCGUUGUGACUAUAGAUGAGUACAACAGGGCAGCACCUGAAAAACUGCAGUCAGCUGAUACAAUUCUGGCAUCUGGGAGUUACGCAUGGCCAUGGGUAUGGAAUGAGCAUGGACGGUGAUCACCAAUCCUGAUCAUGGGGGCCGGUGUCUCUGCAGAUUUUAAAUGAAACCUCUGCUAAUUAGUCAUGACUGCUGCUUCCUACUGACCAGGACUGUGGGCUCUCUGACAGUGGAGUUCUAGGACUUCACUUCCUGCUAAAGAAAGACAAUACUACAUCAUCUCCUCUGUUCGCCAGUUGUACUGUACUGUGCUUGACAACUUUUCUGAGCUGUUUGGGAACAUAAAAGAUGAUGAUUACCUAGUGAAAUUCACAUGGAUGAGGAGGAUAUCCACUAUUGUGGUGGUGGUGAUGAUGAUGAGGAGGAUGAGUAUGAAAAGUCAUUGUUUCCUCAGUCAGUAUAAAGUGUACACUCAAGUCCGAUUUUAAAGACAAGGUCAAGGUUAAACCAGAAUUAUGCCUUAGCUAAAAUUGGACAUUUACACUACUUUUAAAAAUGUGACUUACAAAUAAACUUACUGAUGUGCAUCUUGAGACAAAAUGAUGGCGCCGAUAUAUUUUAUGAUAUGCCAGUAAAAGUUGUUUUGGUUAAGACAUCUCAAAUAUAAAUUUUAGUUUGGGACUAGGCUUAGACCUUGUGAUCGAGUGAAGUUGCAAUUCACUAGUGUAGUGGAUGAAAACUUGUUUAGAAUGAUAAACAUUUGUUUGUCUCCUAAUAGUUAAAUAGUUCAUCUUAUUUCCCCACGUCCCAAGUUACCUUAUGUCAUCUAUGUGAUUCUAUCUGUAUUUUAUCUUGUGUAUAUUACUGAAACUGCCAGUUGACCUUUUUGUCUUUAAUAUUUAGCAAUAACCAAUGAAAUAGUAAGCAUCAUAUAUAUAGACUGUCUUGUUUAGUUAAUUAAACAAGACUGUAUAUGCUGUGAUGUUUAUCUUAGUAAUGUUUUACAUUGUUUACAUUUACAUUACAAAUGUGUUGUGAAAAUAUGUAAUUUUAUAUUGUUUGUCCAAUCAUUUUUAUAAUACAUAUUGUAAUACGUUGCUGAUAUUAUUAGUGCUAUUAUUACUGAUGUAACAUUUAUGACUCUUUGGACAGUGUUAUACCAAAAUGCCUUCAUUGUUAUUCAUAAAGUGACAAAUAAAAUUGACCAAAUUCAUGUGAAAACAACUUUCUGUUCCCUUUCAGUCGGUCACUACGACGUCACGUCGUGACCGACGA
This is a long non-coding RNA of Misgurnus anguillicaudatus (oriental weatherfish), 1972 nucleotides long. RefSeq lists it as uncharacterized. The record is from RefSeq and is a predicted model, not a curated record. NCBI's taxonomy places the organism in Eukaryota, Metazoa, Chordata, Actinopteri, Cypriniformes, Cobitidae.